This 1014-nucleotide long non-coding RNA is filed under the name Strigops habroptila (Kakapo). RNAcentral describes it as "lncRNA (ENSSHBG00005015525.1)". Lineage: Eukaryota; Metazoa; Chordata; Aves; Psittaciformes; Psittacidae. The record is from RNAcentral.
CCUUGUUCACCCUGGUCCCUAUAGAUGGUCCCUGUUCACUCUGGUCCCUACUGAUGUCCCUUGUUCACCCUGGUCCCUAUAGAUGGUCCCUGUUCACUCUGGUCUCUACUGAUGUCCCUUGUUCACCCUGGUCCCUAUAGAUGGUCCCUGUUCACUCUGGGCUCUACUGAUGUCCCUGUUCACUCUGGUCCCUAUAGAUGGUCCCUUGUUCACUCUGGGCCCUACUGAUGUCCCUGUUCACUCUGGUCCCUAUAGAUGGUCCCUUGUUCACUCUGGGCGCUAUAGAUGGUCCCUGUUCACUCUGGUCCCUACUGAUGUCCCUUGUUCACCCUGGUCCCUAUAGAUGGUCCCUGUUCACUCUGGGCUCUACUGAUGUCCCUGUUCACUCUGGUCCCUAUAGAUGGUCCCUUGUUCACUCUGGGCCCUACUGAUGUCCCUGUUCACUCUGGUCCCUAUAGAUGGUCCCUUGUUCACUCUGGGCCCUAUAGAUGGUCCCUGUUCACUCUGGUCCCUACUGAUGUCCCUUGUUCACUCUGGUCCCUAUAGAUGGUCCCUGUUCACUCUGGGCUCUACUGAUGUCCCUGUUCACUCUGGUCCCUAUAGAUGGUCCCUUGUUCACUCUGGGCCCUAUAGAUGGUCCCUGUUCACUCUGGUCCCUACUGAUGUCCCUUGUUCACCCUGGUCCCUAUAGAUGGUCCCUGUUCACUCUGGGCUCUACUGAUGUCCCUGUUCACUCUGGUCCCUAUAGAUGGUCCCUUGUUCACUCUGGGCCCUACUGAUGUCCCUGUUCACUCUGGUCCCUAUAGAUGGUCCCUUGUUCACCCUGGUCCCUACUGAUGCCCCUUGUUCACCCUGGUCCCUACUGAUGCCCCUUGUUCACCCUGGUCCCUAUUGAUGUCCCUUGUUCACUCUGGGCCCUAUAGAUGGUCCCUGUUCACCGUGGUCCCUAUAGCUGGUCCCUAUUCAUGUCUCUGUUCUCUCCAUAGGGGCGACCACCGGCAGGACCGCCGCGAG